This 33143-nucleotide long non-coding RNA is filed under the name Vigna radiata. RNAcentral describes it as "long non-coding RNA (VRAD_LNC010334)". The record is from RNAcentral. Lineage: Eukaryota; Viridiplantae; Streptophyta; Magnoliopsida; Fabales; Fabaceae.
GGGUUUUAGAGUGUGACAGCUAGGAGCUUCAUUUUCUUCCAUUUGUCUGAGCAUUAUCCAUUGAAUUUUUGUCUUCCACCAAGUAAGUCGUGCCAUCUAAAGUUUCAAUUUCUCAAAAGCUUGAUUUGUGAUGAAUGUUGAUGAAAAAGCUUGAUUUUUGAUGAUUGGUACUGUCUAUGCAUGAUUUGCCACUGUUUGGGCCGAUUAAAUUGUGCUAAUUGUGAUUGGGAUUGAGUGGAAAGUGAAUCGAAAGUGAAAAAUGUAGCUAAACCAUGUUUGACAACACCACUCGCCGCUCACUGAAAAGAGAACAAUUUGUUCUAACCUUUGAACCUUGAACCUGAUUCAUGUUUUGAAAAUCUUUACCUUGAGUUGAGAAAAUUUGAUGAGGUAUUGAUAAAUGUUCAAGUUUGGGGUUCCUGGGAAAAUUGAAAAGAAAAACAUUGAGCUAAGCCAUGAGACAUCUCUAAUAACAUUGUCUAAUGAUAAUCUUUGAGGUUGUUGCCAUGUCUUAGCUAAAUCUUUAAUUUGAGGAUUAUUUGUCUCUUCAUUUAUUGUCUCUUACAAGUCUUCUUCACUUGCAUCUGAAUCAUUUAACUCAAGAGGUUUUUCCUCAAGGUCCACAAUUUCAUCAAAGACAACAUACAUAGAUUCUUCUAUUUCAAAAGUUCUCCGAUUAAAAACUCUAUAUGUUUUUCUUGUUAGAGAAUAACCAAGAAAUAUAGCUUCAUCGAAUUUAGUAUCAAAUUUUCCCAAAUUUUGUUUUCUAUUAUUUAAAAAAAAAACAUUUAUGUCCAAAUAUUUUCAAAUGAGAAACAUUAGGCUUUCAUCCUUUAAACAAUUCAUAAGGAGUACAUUUUAAAAUAGGUCUAGUAAGCAUUAUAUUUAAAACUUCACAUACAAUACUUACAACGUCAGCCCAAAAAUGUUUUGGAAUUUUUUAUUCAUUUAAUAAAGUUCUUGCAAGUUCUUCUAAAGAUCUAUUCUUUCUUUCUACUACUCCAUAUUGUUGUGGAGUUAUAGGCGCAAAAACUUUCAAAUGAUUCAUUUUGAAAUUUCUCUCCAUGAUCAUUACGAAUAGAUUUAAUUUUCAAAUCCUUUUCAUUUUGAACUUGUUUUGCAAAUUUUUUGAAAACUUUGAAAGUUUCACUCUUUAGAGUAAUAAAGAAUGUCCAUGUAAAUCUUGAAUAGUCAUCAACUAUAACUAAAGCAUAAUAAUUUCCCCCAAAACUUUUUAUCCUUGAAGGACCAAAUAAAUCCAUGUGCAAGAGUUCUAAGGGUUUUACACUUGAAACAAUAUUUUUCGAAUUAAAAGAUGAUUUAAUUUGUUUACCUUUUGACAUGCAACGCAUAACUUUUCCUUAAAAAAUUUAGUUUUGGUUUACCAAUAACUAAAUCUUUAGAUAUAAGCCUAUUCAAUUGUUGCAUAUGAAUAUGAGCAACUUUCUUAUGCCAUAACCAUGAAUUUUCUAUGAAUUUUCUUCUUUUACUACUAAUCAUGAAAUAUUUUUAUUUGAUACGUUUUCUAAAUCAAUUAAAUAAAUAUUUGCAUGCCUAAUACCUUUUUAAAGCAAUUUCAGAAGAAUACUUUUCAUGGAUAAUGUAGUAAUUGGGUUCAAAUGUUACCUUGAAACCUUUGUUAUAUAAUUGACUAAUAUUGAGAAAAUUGUGCUUCAAGUACAAAAAAUACAUUCUUUAUCAUAUAUUCCAAGGAUCUUCCGAUUGUUGUAGUCACCAUACAUGACAUAGCCUUGUUCCUUUUUUCGGAAAUUUGAAAAUUUCUUUCUAGCCUUGAAUAACCACUAUCAAGGUACCACAUGGUCUUCCAAGAUUUUGAACUUAUCUACAAAAUGAAAAGAGAACAAGCUACUUUAGGUACCCUAUAAUUUUGUACGGGUCCUUUGGGUUAGUUAAACGAAAUAUUUCAAAUUAUUUUAUAACCCAAGUAUAGUUUUCAUAAGAAAAACUAUAAUGUUUUAUUUUGCAUUUAUUUGAGGUAUGACCCUUUUUCAUGCAAUGAAAACAAGUAGCAUCAUUUGGUUUCCUACAAGUUGUUUCUUCUUCUAUCCAAAUUUUACGAGUUCUUCUAUAAUUAUUUUUAUUUUUAGUUUUAUAAUUAUAAUCUUUAUAAUUUUGAUCAUAUUUAGGAACACACUUAAUUGUAUUUUUUAUAAUUAUAAUCAUAAUAAUUAUAAUUAUAUUUAGGAACAUUUUUAACAACUUUUUUAAUUUUUGAAUUAUUUUCACUACUUUCAACAUGGGUUGUUUUGUCUAUAGGCUUCCUUUUAUUUAUACACGAGAUAAAUUCAUCACUAUUAGCAUAUUUACCUUUCUCAUAAUAUAAAUUUUUAUUUUUUAAAUUUUUAUUUUCUUCAAGAACAUUUUCAUAUUUUGAAUUUAAUUCUUUAAAAUCUUUCUUUAAUUUCUUGUGAGCAAUAUCCAAUUUUUUUGAUUCAAAUAAUAAUUCUUUAUAUGUAUCAAGUAAUUCACUAUUACUAUAAUCUAAAUUUUUAGGGCCACUAGAGAACUUACUUUAUUCUUAGAAAUAUUGUCGCCACUCAUCAAACAUAUGUUGGUCUGCUCAUCAGAGUCGCUUGAACUUGAUGUAGAUUCAUUAUCCUCAUCUUAAGCAAUACAUGCCUUCUUUUUCUUGAAUAAUUUCUUUUGGUCUCUUUCUUCACCCUUAUUUGGGUUUAAGUAAUCUGCCUUCAUAUGUCAUUUUUCUCUGCAACCAUAACAAUGGUAGUUUGAGGAGGAUUCUUGAUCUCCUUUUCGCUUUUAAAUCUUCUUUUUCCCUUGGACUUUUGUUAAAAUUUUUAAUGAAGAGACUCAUAUUUUUUUUCUUCUUCUUUAGAGUCUUCUUCUUCCUUAAUGUUUUUACCUUUUUCAAUCUCAGAUUUGAACACAGGUGUCUUUUUCUUUCUUUCUCUUCAUCUUCAUCCAAUCUUCCAAGAUCCAGUUCAUGCUUUCUCAACUUACCAUACAAUGCAACCGUUGACAUGGUAUUGAGAUUUUGUGACUCACCUAUAGUGAUCACCUUUGGUUGUCAAGUCCUGCCCAAUGAUUUAAGAAAUUUAAUAUUUAAUUCAGCAUUUUCAUAAGACUUACCUAACCCAAUAAGAUGAUUCGUAAUAUGAGUGAAGCGUUUCUGAACAUCUGUGAUAGUUUCUCCUUACUUCAUGCGGAACAUCCCAUACUCUUGGAUUAGAGUAUUCCUUCUCGCUCUCCUAACAUCAUUUGUUCAUUCGUGAGUGACCAUCAACAUCUCCCACAUCUCUUGAGCAUUUUUAUAGGUAGAGACCAUGUAAAACUCAUCAACAGUUAAAACAAAUGAUAUUAUAUUACGAGCCCUUACAUCAUGUUGGAAUCUCCUUCUAUUGUCAGCAUUCCAUUGGUCGCGAGAUUUAGGUUCCUACAAAUUGUUAAUAAAAAUAGUAGGAAUAAAAGGACCAUUUGUGAUAGUUUCCUAAAUCAUACCAUCAAUAGAUUCCAUAAAAAAUUGCAUUCCAACUUUCCAAAAAGCAUAGUUUUCUCUAGUAAAUAAUGGAGGUCUGUUGAUAGAUGCACCCUCAGCAAAGGUUUGAUGUUGCCCUGCCAUUUUGAAUUACUAUUAAGGCAAGCUCUUAUACCAAUUGUUAGAGCGGUGCAAUAGAAUGAUUAGCGUGAACAAUUUUACCCAAACAUGAAACUCACUUCCCUUGAAACCCACAAGGAAUGAGCACUUCCUCCGAAUGUUUCACGAAUGAUGAACAUCUCCUUUGAAUCUUCACAAAGGAUGACAAACUUUAACUCAGCAACAACAACAACACUAAAUCACAAUUCCAAUGAAAGUUCUCACUCUAUGCCAACACCAAGUUCCUAAAGCCACAAGCACAAGGGUUACACAAACCCUAGAAUUCACUUAUCACAGCACAUAGCAAAACAAAUAAGCUUUUCAAAAUUUACGUAUUUCAUAUGUUAAAUGAGAAUCUUAAUCCAUUAUGUAGAGAUCUCACUUAAGGAUAUCUUCAAAAAUCAAUUGUCAACUAUUUAACGCGUGAUAAUUGAUUAUCUAAAUGAGAUUAUCAAUUAUGCAUUUAAUGUAUGCAUAACGGUCAAAAACAUGCUUGAAGACUCUUAUAAUUACUCGUGAUAAUCGAUUAUGGUAAGUUAUAAUCGAUAACCGAUUAUCAUAAAUUUGUAAUCGAUUAUUCCAAGAAAAAAUGAAUUUUUAGAAAACUUUUAAGCACACAAUACAUGUAAUCAAAGAUAAAUAAUAUCCUAUAUAUAAAAUUGCUAAACUACAAAAGUUUUAAUAUAAAACAAGUUUUCAUGAAGAUCUUCUUAUAACUUAAACACCUCAUAUUUAACUUUGAGACAUCAUCAAAACUUAUAGGUUUCAUUUUUAUGCUAACAAUUUUGAUUUUUAUGCUAACAAUAUCGGCUAAUGUUAAAUUGUACCAUGACCAAUCUUGUCAAAGCAAUUUGAAUCCAUUAAUCCAAAAUAGAAAAUGAGAUGUGCUUACCGAAAUGAACAAUCCGAAAUGUCACCGAACUUAUUAUACAUCAAUGGGUGUUGCUCCCUCCACCUCUCCAAGUGCUCCUCCACUUCCCCACUAUUUUCAUUUAUUUCAAAAAUAUUCUAUACAUCUCCACUAUUUUUUUUUAUUCCAAAAAUACCCUACACCUCCCCACUAUCCUCAACAAUCUUUCCCUUUCUCUCUCUACAUUAAUGGAGCAUUCACAUGAUUCAAAUUUGAAUUUGUGAUAUACUACAAAAUAUAAAAUUUAGAGGAAACUUCAAUAUUAGCACUUUUAUCAUUUCCAUUUUAUAAAAUUAAAAAUUAGAUGCAAAUACAAAAUAAUAAACAUAAUAAUAUUAAUAGUAAAUAACGAUAUAUUAUUAUUAUUAUAUACUAACUUUAUAAUGACGAAAAAACUAAAUAAAUUCUAAAUCUUUAACAAAUAACUAUUUUUUUUUAUAUUUUAAGUAUUUAAUAAUAUUUUUAUAUUAUUUAUCUAAUAAAUUAAAUAUUUUAUUCAAGUUAUUUGAGUCAAACAUGUCGAUGAGUUAAAACAUAAUAUAAUGUUAAAACUUAUAGAUAUUAUAUGUAAAAAAAAACACACAUAUAUAUAAACAUUUUUCUAAAAAUUUAGAACCAAAUUUUACCAUUUAUUAAGUAAUUUGAAAAAAAAAAAUAUUCAACAACGAAAAUAAGAUUGAAUCAAACUUAUUUAAAAUAAUAUAUCAUAAGUUCAAAUUUAAAUCAUGUAUAUGCUCCAUUAAUGUAGAGAAAGAAAGAGAAAGAUUGUUAAGAAUAGUGGGAAGGUGUAAGAUAUUUUUGGAAUAAAAGAAAAUAGUGGAGAGGAUUAGAAUAUUUUUCAAAUAAAUUUAAAUAGUGGGGAGGUACAAGACCCACUUGGGGAGGUGGAAGGAGCAACACCCUACAUCAAUUAGUCGUUCCAAGAAGAAUAUUUUCAUUAUAAAUUAUUUUAGGUUUAAUACAUCAUUUGGUUCCUUCUUUUGUGGCUUUUGUUCAAAAUGAUCCCACUUUUGGAAAAAAAUCACUUAGGUCCCAUAUUUCAUUAAAAAUUGUUCAAAAUGGUCCUUCUGACAGACGGCGUUAAAUUCUUAACGGUGCAGAUGCUGGCGUGGCAAACUUUUAUUCAGUUGUUUAAAACUUAUCUGACGUGCACAAAUACGACCAAUGGGAGCACACCACGUGUCAGUCCCCUUUCCACCCAGAAUUAGGGUUUUGCAAUUGGGGGUAGAGGGACUUGGGAGGUCUGCCUCCGCCGUGAGAGUAAUGGCCUCUUGUGCAUCUUCGUCUUGGCUUGUGCUCUCAUCCACCAACGCCAAACACAAACCCAACUGCUUCAAAUUCAAUGCUCCCAUCGCUUCACAAAUCCAAUGGCAUUCAGACUCGGAUACCAAAGAAACCUUCGUCACCCUCCCGAAAUUAAACGCCACUGGGUGGAAGCAUCUGAUGAAUCUUUGCAUUCUCUGGAAAGAUUCACAGUGGCCUCUUACAACAUACUGGGGGAUAGAAAUGCUUCUCAACACUCGGAUUUAUACGUAAACGUUCCUUCUCGUUACAUCAAAUGGGAUCGUCGCAAGAGGGUUAUUUCUGAUAAGCUUCUUGGGUGGGACCCUGAUAUCAUCUGCUUACAAGUAACCAACUUUUCACCUUUCUUGAAUUUGUUCCAUUUUGUUUGAUUUAUUUGAUAGGCUAAAACAAUGCACUUAUACUUUCAGGGUUUGGGUUUGAUUCUGGGUUUCUUGGGCUGGUUUUCUGUGUGCAGGUGGUGGCCUGGCCGUGGAUUCUCGCUACUUAUUCAUUGAAGAUGAAGGAGGAAGGAGGCGCUGCUUGUGUGGAUGAAACCGGUGGCGCAUAUUGGAGGAGAUCUGUCACAGCGACGCUUGCGGUGUUGAUGGUGUUCGUGAUUUCUGAUUCGUGGUGGUCUGAUACGAUUCUAGGUUCAUGGUAAUUAGUUUGAGAUAAGAGGAAGAUGGUGGCGCAUGGUUGAGGCAACAGGGUUGCUAAUGGCGUGCGAAGAAGAAGAUGAUGGAUGGUGGUCGGCGGCGACACUGGUGUUCAAGUUUAGGGUUCACAUAGCCACAUCAGAUAAGUUUGUCACGUCAGAUAACUUCACAUAGCCACAUCAGAUAAGUUUGUCACGUCAGAUAACUUCACAUAGCCAUGUAUAUAAAAGUUUGCUAUGCACCGUUAAGAAUUUAACGCCGUCUGCUAAAGGGACCAUUUUGAACAACUUUUAAAGAAAUAUGGGACCAAAGUGAUUUUUUUCCAAAGGUGGAAUCAUUUUGAACAAAAGCCACAAAAGGAGGGACCAAAUGAUGUAUUAAACCAUUAUUUUAAAAACAAAAUAAUGAAAGGUAUAAUGAAACAUAAUGUAAAGUUAAAGUUUGGAAGUGCUGGAAGAAAGGUGAAGUACGAGAAGCAUCCUUCUCUAUAACCACAACAUCACUCACAUACCCGGUACGAUUACAACAAAACAGCCACGUAGAAAACACAAGUCAGGUAAGCUAUCAAUAAUUUAUAGAUAAUAUAAAUUCAUAUCAGAUCCAUUGUUAAGCAAUUUUGGUCUUAAAAUCUCAACUCUAUUGGAAAUAACGAAACAAAUAAACACUUUUAAAUACUUGUAUGAAGUAUAUCCCAGUAAAGACCAUCCCCUCAUUCAUUCUAGCACUUUUUAUCAACGCACAAAUCUUAGCUUAGUAAAUAAAAUUAAGUUCAUUACACAAAUAAUUGUAACAUGCAAAAUCUUACCUAGACAUCUUACCAACUGAUACCUUAAUUCGACGAUUAAAGUAAAUAUAUCACAUUUUAAUGAUGAAUUCUUACAUUUAAUAUUCAAACCACAAACUGAUUCAAUAUAUCAAAGUUGUGGUAAUGCCAAAUUAUGUUGCUUAGAUUACAUAAAAUCAAUCUUCAAACAUCCGGAUUUGCUAUCAGUUAGUCUCAUGUUGAUGCUUAACGCCAAAACAAAACUUUCCAAAAUACAUGGAUUGGUACACCAUGAGAUUCACUGGUUCAAGCUUUCACAUUUAAGGAUCGUUCAAUUUCUUCUAAAGAGCGACCCUUGGUUUCGACUAAGAAGUAAUAGGAAAAUGUUGCAGCUGAUAGGGAAACUGCUCCAAAGCUGGCAUAUAUAGGUGCUACUCCAAAUUUCUCCACCAACUCAAGGAAAAAUAAUCCCACAAUAAAAUUGCACACCUAGAUAUAAAGGACAAAUUAAAAUAAGCCCAAAAAAUUCCAUCACAUUUACCAACUAAAUUGACAUGAAAAAGCUUUCAACAGAGGAAAGGUUUCAAUACACACCCAAUGGGUAGAAAAACUUAAUCCCAUGAUCUUCCCUCGUGUCCUGGUACUGCUAAGCUCUGAUAUAAUGAUGCCAGUUACGGGUCCAGCUCCAAUUGCAAAAGAGAAUAUAUACCUGUGGAAUAAUAUAAAGGAAAAGUGGGCCUUCCUAGUCUGGAUCUUGUAGAAAAUAUAAAAUACGAGGAAAAUAUUCAAGUUAUCAUCUAUGUUCAUGUUAAUAAAUAAUAAAGGAAUUAUGCUAAAUUUUAAAGUAAAUACAUUUUAAAUGUGAUUAUUGAAUUAGGGAAAACAUCAUGGUAUUUCAUUGCCUAAUAGUGGCAAUUGCUUAAUGUUGCAAUGCUAUAUGUGUUGAGUGAAUAUUGUAUAUAAAGCAGUUGAAAAACUGACUCCUUGGUUAUUAGUUUUCUGUUACUAAUGCAGAUCUCACAUUGACUAAGAAUAAAGCCAGAUUAUAAUUUAUAAGUGAAGUAUAAUCCUCGUUUUAUAAGUUUGAGAGGUUGAGUUAAUUAUAAACCCGAUAGUAACAAAACUAUUCAGAGCCUAUUGUAGUCAAGUUCUUUGAGGCUGUUAUGCCACCCUUGUCGAACUCCUGUUAGACCACAUGUAAAUAUAUCCUCCCAUGCUCAAUAUGUUCAUUCCUUGUGAGGGGCUUGUUGGAGAUCCUAGAUUGAUUAGGAAUAAGGUUAGAUUAUAGUAUAUAAGUGAAGUGUAAAACAUACUAGUUUUGAGAGAUUGAGUUAAGCAUAAACCCACUUAUUAAGAUCUCAAAUUUAAAAAAAAAAACAUUUUUUUUCUAUAUUUCAAUAAUGAGGCUAUUAGACCUAUAAAUACAUGACGCGGUUCUUUAUUUUAGAAAAUAGAGUCGUAGAUCUAAGGAAACAAAUCCUUGUAAUUGUUGAUUGUUUUUAAAUACAUAAUCCUAGUUUUAAUAGCAAGAUACACCUAUAAUAAAUAUUAAAAUUAUAGCAAGGAUAAAAUAAAAAGCAACCUAAAAUAUAUAACGAGCUCCACGAUUUUGACACUCCUCAAGCUGGUGAGUACGUGUUCUCCAUUCCCAGCUUGGAUUAAAUUCUUUCAAAGUUAAUGCAAUGCAACCCUUAUGCAUGCAAAUUGAAAUAGUUCUAAUAAUGUCUUUAUCUCAAAUUCCAAAUAAUACUUAAAUCUUUCUAAUGUCGUUAUCUCAAAUUCCAUUUCAAGGCAUUGACUUAACAUUUGCUGCUCUAUUGUCAUCCAUAAUUUCUAUGAUAUCAUCAUUAUACACCAACAAUAUUAAUUUUUGAUGAAUAGAAUGUGAUCCCUUUGACUUUGUUUGUAACUCAGACUUGUCAUAACCUCAGUGAAUCUACCAAACAAUGCUAUUGGGGAUUGCUUCAAUUCAUACAAAGCCUCUCUUAACUUGCAAACAAUUGCAGAAACAAGUUGUCCUUCAUAGCUCGGGGGAAACUCCAUGUAUAUUUCUUCAUCAAGGUCUCCAUGUAAAAAUGCAUUCUUCACACCAAACUGCUUCAAAUCUCAAUCAUGAUUUGUUGCUAAUGACAACAUUACUGACUGCAUUCAUCUUAACAAAUUGGGCAAAUGUCUCCCUAAGUAAAAUCCAUUCCAUAGGAAUGAAUGAAUCCUUUGAUCAAUAAUCUUGCCUUAUAAUGUUCAAUGGCUCCAUCAGUCUAAUAUUUCAAUGUAUAUAUCACUUACACCCCACGGGUUUUUUUUCCAGUUGGUAAGGUGAAAAGUUCCCAGGUCUUAUUCUUGUUUAACGCCUCCAUUUCAAUAUCCAUAGCUUGUUUCCCUUCAUUGUUCGAUAAUGCUUUAGACACAGAAGAAUGUAUAGUUAUAGAGUUUAGGUUUGUGAGAAAGGUUUUGUGUAUAAUGGAGAAAAGGGUAGGAAAUUUAAUAGAGGGUAAAGUGAUUAUCGGGUUAUACUUUUGAGAGGGUCCCUAAUCAACCUAUUGAUAUAGAAGCUUUAAGGUCACAUUGUCUAACACACCUUGAACCUCCUUACACUGGUUUCUUUGAGAGUCUUGCUUCUAUAGAAGACAAAUUGAAUUGUCCGGCAGACCCUUGCAAGUUGAAAGGUAAAAGAAAUAUAUGUCUUGAUGUCACUUCCUCUUAUGAUAGUUUUGAUGAUUCUUAUGAAGUGUUAUGCAAGGUUGCUUCCAAGAUGAUAAAGCAUUCUAUGAUGAACAAGAAGUCUAAAUCUGUUAGAAAAUCUAAGCGUUCUUGCUUUCUCAUUUACUUGAUCUUCUUCUCUUAGAUAGCCAACCCUAAAACCGUCUCAGGCAUCAAUUGCUGGAGAAGAUGUUUAUUCAGCAUCCGACAAUAUUACCCUGGUGAGAGUGAUACAACAAAAGUCUCUUUAGAUAAUUAUGUCACCUAAGGAUAUGUGCGAAGAAACAUCGCUUACAGCAGUCAUUCCAGAUUCUCAUCCUUUAGCCAGAUACACUAAUCCAUUACCAAACACAUAAGAAAAUAUGCCAAUUAACGCUGUACCAAGUGAUCCUAUUCCUUUAGACAAUUCAUUCUCACCUCACUCCUACACAUCUAUCUUCAACAAAAAGACAACCCUCACUAAUUUUAUGGUUAACGCAAACUUAACUUCCGUAAUCCUUGGAUAAGCACAUGAAUGUCCCUUGAAAGGUGGAGAGACAUGUAGUGUAACACGCUGCUUAUAGAAAUGUUAUGGGUGUGUAUGAAAUAUUGUUUGAAUAAAUAGAGUAAUAUAUUAGAAUCUUUGCAUGUUAUCUUGAUAAAUUCUAAUUUCUCUUUUAAGUGAAAAUUUAAACUUUUACUUGAAAGGAUUAAUUUCAAAGAAAGAAGAUUCUUAUUUUGUUAAUUAAUUUGAAAUGGUACAUCAACCUCUAUAUUCAGAGAACUCAAACCCUAAAGUAAUACUUACAAGGGAUCUCUAGAAUCUUCUAAUAACUUUUAACAAUAUAUUUAAUAUCCUACCAACUUUCAGUAUUGCAUUUAACAUAUAACUAACAACACUCCCCUUCAAACUAGUGAGUAGAUAUCUAUCAUUCUAAACUUGCAUGUGAGAUCAUGUAAGGGCUCAAGGGAAAGACCUUUUGUGGACAAAUCUCGUAACUGAAGUCUAGACGGGACAUACGAAGUAGUGAUAAGACCACUACCCAAUUUUUCUUUAAUAGUGUCGAUCUAUCUCUAUAUGUUUGGUCCUAUCAUGUUGAACUGGAUUGUGAGCAAUGCUAAUAGCUAACUUAUUAUCACAAUAAAGGAUCAUAGGUUCUUCACAUGCCACUUUAAGAUCAUCUAGGAUAAUUCUCAUCUAUAACAAUUCAUACACCCCUUUUGCAUGAGACCUUGCAACAACAUUUUGUUUCUUACUUGUCCAAGUCACCAAAUUUCCACCCAACAAUAUGCAAUAUCCUGAAGUGUAUUUCCUAUCUAUGACAAAUCCUGCAUAAUCCGCUUUAGUAUACAAUUCCACUUUUAAUCGUUCAUUCCUUUUAAACAGUAAUUCCCUUUCCUGGACUUGUCUCAAAAAGUGAAAGAUUAAAUGUCUCUCUUUGGAAUCAUGCAUGAAUAGACUAACAACACUCACAACAUAGGCUUUGUUCGGUCUGGUAUGAGUUAAGUAGAUAAGCUUCCCAACAAGUCUUUGAUAUUAGCCUUUAUUUACUGUAGAACUGCCAUCGUCACUCCCAAUUCUAUGGUUUUUGUUAGGAUAUUUACCCUAUUUAUCAUCAUUAUAUUGUGUCAAGGGUUACCUUAUUUAUCAUGAUUAUAUUGUAUCUAGGGUUACCUUAAUUAUCAUGUACUCUUGUAUCAAUUUAUUCCUAGAAAUAGAAGAUUAUGAGAGGAAUCAAUCAAUGGAACCCAAACUUCUUAUAUAUUUGAGGGCUUUCAAAUUUUGUCACUCCUUUCGGAAGAAAGCUCAAAGCAUUUAUGCCAACGACACUGCGAACAAGCUUGCAUCUCCUAAAAUGGCAAACCAUGAUAUGGUGUCCUUCAUGGUUGAAGCCCAAUUUGCUGUCGAAUAACUCAGGAGAUUUUUGGAAGCGGACCCAUUAGAGGAUAUCAAAAAGAAACUAGACAACUGUUGAUCCUUCUUUCCCUACAUCCCGAUUUUGAUCAUCUCAGAGAUCAACUUCUGAUCAGUCAUGCGGUCCCCUCCAUGGAAACAAUGACAACUCACCUUUUGCGUGUUCUGGUACCUCAAACUCAAGAAGCACAUGAACUAGUGGAAUCGUCUGUCAUGGUUGCCACACGAGGAAGAGGAGGACGUAGCACUAGAGGAGGAGGACGAGGAGGUUGGGGACGUUCUCAAUGCACAUAAUGUAAAAGGAUGGAUCAAAUUCAAGAGAAUUGCUACUCCUUACAAGGUUUCCCUUCCAAAACUGUAAAUAUUUCAAAGACUGAAACUUCCACUUUUAAGUUCACCGAGGAUGAAUGUCACGAGUAUUUAAGGUUAAAGUCUAAUAGCUUGGCAAAGCCAUCUCAAUCUCCCAAUACAUCAACAACCUACAUUUCUCAAUCCAUGGAAGGUCAAAAUUCAUGGGUAAUUGACUCAAGUGCUUCUUAUCACAUUUUUGGUAAUAUCUCUUUGUUCUCAUCUAUUUCCUUUCGAGAAAAACCUCAUUUCAUAACCCUUGCAAAUGGAUCUAAAAUCCUCCAAAGGAGUCAGUCAUGUUUCCUUGUCUCCCUCCUUCAAUGUCUAAUCUGUCCUUUUUGUCCAUAGAAUGUCAAUUAGGAAAACAUGUUACAUCUUCCUUUCCUAAAAGGUCUCAAUCAAUAGUAAUUCUAGUUUUUCCAUCAUCCAUUCUGAUAUAUAGGGACCUAGUCAUAUCUCCUCCUUUGGUUUUAGAUAUUUUGUUACCUUCAUUGACCAAUAUUCAAGAUGUAAUUGGGUUUAGCUUAUGAAAAAUCAUUCUGAAUUGUUAGUUAUCUUUACAUCCUUUUUCAAUGAAAUCAUGAAUCAAUUUGGUCAAGUAAUAAAAAUAUUAAGAAGUGAUAAUGCAAAAGAGUAUUUCUCAUCCUCAUUUUCUGCCAUCUUGAGUUCCCAUGAUAUCUUACAUCAAUCUACUUGUCCUCAUACACUGCAGCAAAAUGGUAUAGCAGAAUGAAAAAAUAAACACUUGGUUGAAACUGCCCGUACCCUUUUGCUUGGUACCCAUUUUCUUGUCCAUCAUUGGGGGAUGCCAUUUAACUGCAUGUUAUCUUAUUAAUAGGAUGCCCUCCUCCUCUCUUGAUAAUAAAGUUCCUUUCUCCAUUUUGUUUCCUAAUGAUCCUCUCCUUCAUACAUCUCCCUGAGUGUUCAUGACAUGUCUCCCGGUCUAGACAAACUCUCCAUUCGCGCCCUCAAAUGUGUCUUCUUAGGCUAUUCUCGAGGGUUAAUGAACUCUAAAUCUGUUGAGACACUUACGAAUCCUAAUAUCAAACUCCUACCAAAUCAGGGGGAGCCUUUGUCAGAUCCUGAAUGGUACAGAAGAUUAGUUGGUAAAUUAAACUAUCUUACUGUUACGCGUCAUGACAUUUCCUUCGUAGUUAGUAUGGUGAGUCAAUUCCUAAACUCCCCAUGUGAAGACCAUUGGGAUGCAGUUGUUCGCAUACUGAAGUAUAUUAAAGGAUCACCUGGAAAAGGUUUGUUAUAUGGUCCUAACAACGAUACAAAAAUUGUUUGUUAUUCAGAUACUGAUUGGGCUGGUUCCCCUUCUGAUAGGAGGUUUACUUCUGGAUAUUGUGUCUGUAUUUGUGGCAACCUGAUAUCUUGGAAAAGUAAGAAGAAAAGUGUUGUGGCAAGGUCCAACGUAGAAGCAUAAUAUAGAGCUAUGGCAUCAGCUACUUGCGAGCUUGUGUGGCUUAAACAAUUACUUAGUGAUAAUCAAGUUGCUCUCCAUAUUAGCUCUAACCCUGUCGUCCAUGAGAGAACCAAGCACUUUGAAGUUGAUUGUCAUUUUAUUCGAGAAAAAAUCAUAUCCGGAGAUGUCAAGAUUGAGUUUUUUAACUCAAGUAACCAGUUGACAGACAUAUUCACUAAGUGCUUACGAAGACCUCGAAUUGACUAUCUUUGUAACAAGCUUGGAACAUAUGAUUUAUAUGCUCCAGCUUGAGAGGGAGUGUUACAUGUUAAGAUGUGUGUUUAUAUUAAUUGGGCUCAGCCCAUUUUGUAUUAAGGGCCUUGACCCAUUAUAAAUAAACUACCCUAUGUGUAUGCAAAAGACACAAGGGAGGUUUCUUCCCAUCUUCUCCAUUAUUCACACUUAACAACUCCAAUUGUCCUCCCUGUGGCAAGAUCCUAAAAUACACAAUGAGUGGGAAAGAACGUUACAGAACAAUUUAGGUCAUGAGUAUGCUUUCGAACGAAAAUAAGGAUAUUAGAUAGUUUUGGAACAUAAAGGACAUCUUUAAGGCUAAGGGAUGACAAAAAAGAAACAUUUCCACAUCCAUUUAUUGGGAUACGAGUCCCAUUGGCAACAGUAAUGCGGUUAUCAGAAAGAGAAAUAUAUGACGUUAAAAGAGAUGAAUGAAGGGUCAUAUGGUAUGUUGCACCACAGUCUAGAACCCAAGAGUCCUUACAUAAAGUUUUAGAAAAGUUAAAAAAGAAUUAGAGUUUUUACCAAUCAUGGUUAGACAGCAAGUACCAAAAGUUGACUUAUAGACUCCAUACAAGAUUUUAGACAUUCAAUCUUGGCAUGUAAUGUAGGUAUUACUUCCUCAAGUGAAGAGAAGAAGGUUUUUCGCAGGAUUUUGAGAAUAUGAAGAUGCCUAAUAAGCUUUCCUUGAGGGUUGUCCUUUUAGUUCUGCUAGACAAUUGAAGCAAGUGUCCUUGGUGUGGCCAGAUUUCUUACAAUGAGAGCACCAACGCUCUUCCUUACCUUUUAAGUAGUUUCGUAUUUGCAAGAUUUGAAGUCCCAGAUUUGAAAGUCUUUCUGGAGAACAUGGCAACUCCUUCAGUGGAGGGCUCAUUCAUCAUGACCGUUCAACGAGCCUCCUCACCUCGAGCAAUGAAGAGGACUUCAGAAAGAGAAGGAAUUCUUUCCUUUCCAAGAAUUUCAGGCCUAGUAGGGUUAUAUAUAUAUAUAUAUAUAUAUCAAUGAAAAGCACAUCAGUGUAGGUUGAGUACACUAUUUUCUAUCCAUCUUAUUUGCUCAAGUAAACCCAAAUUAAGAAACGGGAAAAGGAUCAACAAAAUGGAAUAGAAUUAUUUCAUAUCUCCUUUGUUUAUUGUAUUGAUUUGUUUUCUCAGUAGAGAUAAAGCAACUGUGUUGUCUCUCAAUCACACGAUAGUUUAACAUACCUAUUUAUAGCCUCAUUCUUACACUACUAAUCAAUGAAUAUGAAAAAUAAGUAUUUCAAGAUAGAAAAAUAGAGAAAGAAGCAAAUAAAUUUGAACAAGCAUCAAGUAAUUGUUGACUAUGUUUUAUUGUGGAUAGAAAAGCUAGGUUUAUUUUGCAAAGACAUAUAGCAGUAGACUAUUAGCAAUGACAAGUAAAUGCUCACAUAAUAGUUCCCAGUAUUGAUAAGUUGUUGCUGAGUUGUUCGUCCAAUGGACAGAAGAUAGCAGAUGACACAAGAAACAUUGAAAUUGCCUACAAAGAUGCACAAGUGAAAGUCAUCUGUAAUAGUCUUCGGAGAAAAUAUAGACUCUUUGGAGAAAUAUAUGAAAGAGUUCAGUGUGUGCCUGUGAUAGGAACUUGUAACCAUAACCCCAUUUUAAUGAUAAAACAGAUCAUCUUUACAUCUCUUACCGACGAGAAGGAGAGAUCAGAAUAGAGAGUAGGAGAAGAUACACUCAGAAAAUGUGAAUAACAGAAACAAAAGGAGCAACUAUCUCCUCCAUCACAUUUUGUUAGGAAUAUCUUGAAACGAAAAGAAAAAGAUAAUAAAAUCCUAACAAAGAACAGCACAAUUACACAACAAGAGAGUAAAAAGUUGUGCAACUUCUGUAUUGAUUAUCAACCAUACUGUUUCAACAAAGGUAUACAAAAUAUACCCCCAAAACAAGCACUCUCCCUUUCUCAAUGGAAAAUUAUUAAAACAAAAAAUCACACCAAUCCCCACUCACUAAAGAGAAAGAAGUCCUACUUAACGAAAAUAACUAACAUCUUGACUCAGUCAACUAUUAUUUACAAUUUGAACCUUUCCCCUUUUUUUCUUUCUAUAGUAAACCUAUAGAGUAUUUUUCCAUUUUAGAUGUUCCUAAAUUCUUUCCUAACAUUUUAUUUGCCUAACUAACAAGAAAGUCCCUUGACUCAUUGCCAUAUUAACUUUCAGUAGUGCUCCUCUGUAUGAAUAUUCCCUUAAUUUCUCUUAGUUUCACCUUCCUUGAAUCCUCAUUGCCACCUGUUGUCAUUGUUAGUUUUCUCCUCCUCAACCAAAUUGUUUCCCUUCUUUCUCUUGUGCACUAUUAGACCUUUAUUAUUUAUUGUUGGGUUCACAGGGCCUCCUCCUAUAAGUGGGUAACAGUAAGGGGCUAAUCAUCAUCUGUCGAACUUACAAGAAUUGAAGGGGAAACACUUGGAGUAGAGUUUUCUCUCAGAACCAUAUUUGUUGAAUAAAAUUCAUCUCUUCUUUCAUAUUCUUGAUUCUUAGUUUGUAACAGGUUUCUUGUUUUGUUCACAGAAAAUUACAACUCAUGAAGUUGUGAACAUCCUCUAAACACUCACCAUUCCUAAGUAGCUUCCUAUUAGAAGUUUCUGUCUCCCUUCCCUAUCAAUUAAGUAUAAUGCACAGAGUGCACCUGAAGAGAAACAAAAGAUAAGAGAAAUCAGAAUCAGAUUUCCAGAAGAAAUUUAUAUUCAUAAAUAUGAUAAGUGGAGAAGAGUGCAAACCGGCAAAAUUAGUAAGCCCAACAAACAAGCUUGCUACAGCACUACUUUCAACUCCAACUUUUUGAAAGGUCAACGAUGAAAAAUAAAGAACUCCAUUAAUGCCUGCAAACUGCUGCAGUACAAAAAGAGCACCUCCAAUAAAGGCAACUGCAAUCAUACAAGAAAACCCACAGCAAAUUUUAUACAUCCAAGUUUCAAGUAGCAUGCAUAAGUAAUGAUGAUAAACGUGUACUUGUGUAUAAAAGAAAAAAGUUCUGUUCUGUGGAGCUAAAUUCAUUCCCCUCUUCAAUUGAAAUUGUUACUUUUAAGUGCUUCACUUGUUAAUCAAUCAAUUACGCUACUAGGACAAGGUAAAGAAUAAUUUUCCAAGCGGUGAAUGCUGCCUAGUAUCUCAUAGUAAUAGUCAAAACCAUCUCUACACAACCUCUAGAAUGUGGCUCCUCCAAGAUCUCUGACCAUCUGCUGUCCGAAUUGCAACCAUCAUUCUUGCAGACUGACUGAAAUUCCUCAAUUGCGCUAUCAAUUUGGGAUUCCCCCCAAAGCUCACGUAUUACUGUUUUAGCAUCAUUUAUUCUCCCAGCCUAAACAGAAAUGUAAAAAGCUAUAUAAAGUGUAACAUUAUAUUUACCAAUCAAUUAAAUAAUAAGCUAUCACCUUGCAAAGCCACCGUGGACUAUCAACGGUAAACUGCAUACCAAUUGCAACCAGAAUACCCGGGAUGCUAGCAAUAUAGAGCAUUGUCCUCCACCUGAAAUAUGUUUUGUUGGUUCAAAAUAUACAUUAUUUGGAAAACAAUUUUGAAGACUAAAAACAUAUUGAUGGAAGAAUCACCAUGAAUUUGCACGAGCAAUAAUGAUUUCAAAUUGUGUGUUUAUAAUUCUUCCGCAAUAUAAACACAAUUUGGAAAGUCAGAUAAACUUUUACAUUUUGAUAAUGGGAGGAAAUAUGUACAGCAUGACACGUCGAAAUUCCAUUCUGAAAAUGGUAUUGUUACUGAGCUAAUGUGUGGGUACACAAUAACAAAAUAACAUUAUUUGUUGUAAUUUGAGAUAAUAUCUUUAAAAUCUUCCUAAUUAGGAGAAAUAGAAAUAAAAUUUCAAACUUCUUUCAUACUCAUAGACCCUUUUGCAUUUUUGUAUUUUGUCGUAGUAUCUCAUGUGCUUCAUCCCUGUUUGCCUUAGUUCACUUUGACAUUUGAGGACCUAAUCAUGUUAUGUUUAAUUUAUGUUUUCAAUAUAUUUUUACUUUUAUUAAUGGUUAUUCUAGAUGUACUAGGUUAUUUUUAAUGAACAACUUUUCUGAUUUAUUUUAUUUCUUUCAAACCUUUUAUAAUGAAAUUAAAACUCAACUUGGUGUUUCUAUUCGAACUUUGCAAAGUGAUAAUGGCCUUGAAUAACUUUCAUAUUCUUUUAAACAAUUUCUUGCUUCUUGUUGCAUUCUCCAUCAAACUUCAUGUGCUUAUACACCUAAAAAAAAUAAGAUGGAUGAGUGCAAGAAUAAACAACUUACUAUUUUUGAAUAACUCGCACUAUUUUUGAGUUGAUAUUAUUCUUACUACAUGGUAUCUUAUUAAUUGCAUGCCAUCUUCAGUUUUGACUAAUAAAAUUCCACGGUCUAUUUUAUUACUUCAAGAAUCUCUACAUCGCUUAAAUGACAAAGAAGACUUAUGUUUCUUUAGUUAUAGCCAUGGUUGUUCUUUAGCAAUGACCUUUUUGAUCAACUAGAUGACAAAAUUGAUUUCCUCAACGAAGAUUUGCAGGAAGAAAUUGAUAAGGAGUAACCUUGCAGAUUUGUUACUUAGAGGGUGUCUUUCUAGAUUAAUCUAUCAUCUUUGCAAAUCUUUGUAAGGCCUAAAAUAAUCUCCUAUGGUCUAGUGUUGUAAUUAGAGAAAAUAUCUAUAUAAUCUUCUUAAUUAUAGAAAAUAUCUAUAAAAUCUUCCUAAUUAGAGAAAAUAUUUUUAGGAUCUUCUAAAUUAUUUUUCAGUAUACUGUUUCCUUAUUUCCCUUUCUUAGAAGAUUAGAUUGUUACAAAUAGAAGUAAGGAGAAUGUAAUUGAUAUGAAUGAAAAUAAUAAAGUCACUCUCUUUUUCAAGUUGAUAUCAGAGCACCUGAUCUUGGGAGCUUCGUUUCCGCUACAACAGUACUCACCGUCACCGUUGUGCAAUAUCCUAUCAUUUAUGACUCUUGAUAUGAAUGUUUAUAAGGAGGAACUCAAGCACUUGAAAGCAAUGGUUGAAUCAAUGAGUAAGCCCUCUAGAUAGGGAUGGCAACGGGUUGGGUCGGGCACAGAUAGUGCCUACCUGCAACCCGACCCGCUGGGUAAAAUUGUACCCGCUACCCGCUGGAUACCCACCUUAAGAAAACCCGCGGAUUUGUUCCAACCCGCAGGUAUCCGUUGGAUACCCGUUUUAAACCCGCGAAUAUUUAAAAAAAAAAUAUAACUGUAAAUUUAAUUUUAGAAUGUUUUAGAUUUAAAGUUAAAGUUUUGGGAGUUAAAGAAGAGAAAAGAAUAAAAUAAAUAAUAAUAAGAUGUAUUUUUAGUGUGGGCUGCAGUAUUUAAGGAAAAGAGAAGAGAAAAUGUAGUAGGUGGAAGGGAAGUUAACUGAGAAAAGUAAAAUAAAAAGAGAAUGGUGGGAGGAAGAAAGAGUGCUACGUAAGAGAAUAAGGAGAGAAAAAGGAGACUUAUGCAGAGGAAAUUAAAGUGUGUGAGGAAAGUGUUUAUGCAGAAGGAGUUUCAAAUGGGUUAAAUGGUUAGAAUUUAAAUAAAGAGAGAAUCUAGGAGAGGGACAACUACCGUGAUUGGGUUUUGCAGAAAAUUAGAAAAUAAAUGAAAAUGAAAGAAAAAAGAUUGUUGAGAAAACAAAGAAGACAAAUAAAAUGAAAGAGAUGGGUUGUCUGUUUCGUAAUAUUUUUAAAUAGCUGUUGAGAAAACAAAGAAGACACAAUCAUAAAACUUAAUUUAAACUAAGGAUAACGAUGUAAUUUUAACUUCUAAGUGUGUAACGGGUAUUCGCGGGUACGGAUAAUGCAAAACCUGAACCCGACCCGAUAAGGAACGGGUAUUAAAAAACCCGUUACCCACUACCUGCGGGUACCUAUUACCCGCGGGUACCAACUAUCCACAACGGGUUUAAUCCGCGGAUACCCACGGGCACGGAUUUUUUUGCCAUCCCUACCUCUAGAUCAUGUACUCUGUCCAUGAAAGGUAAGAUUUGUCUCAAUAUUAAUGGUCAUGUGUCUCAAGGUAUUUGGAUUCUUGAUUCAAAAACAACUAAUCAUAUGACACAUUUUCGUGUGUCCUUCGACUCAUGCUAAAACAAAUAGAGAACAACUUAUUACAGUAGCAAAUGGACAGGGUAUACCUUUAUACUGCUAAGAGAAUAUAACUAUAGACUCAUCUAUUAUAUUAAACGAUGUUUUACAAAUUCCACAAUUAGGCAAUAGUCUUAUCUCUGUGAAAAAACUCACAAAGGAUUUAAAUUGUUCAGUAACAUUUUUCUCAACUUAUUGUGUUUUUCAGGACCUUGCCAUGGUAAGACGAUUUUAACUGCUAAAGAACAAAGUGGGAUCUAUCUAUUGGGGUCUAAUGACCAAAGCAAAACAAAAAUCAUGAUUCAACAAGUUACAUCUUUUAAUUGUGAUAUUUGUCAAUUGUCGAAACACCAUCGUGCAUCUUAUCCUAUUAGUAAUAAAAAGAGUUCUUCUCCAUUUGAUUUAAUUCACUCUGACCUUUCGAGACCUUCGUAGAAUCUAUUUCCAAAGCCAAAUGGUUUGCUACCUUUAUUGACGAUUGUAGUCGUGUCUCGUGAACAUACCUUAUGAAAAAUAAAUCAAAAGUUUUCCAAAUCUUUGUUAACUUUUUCCGUCUUGUCCAAAAUCAACUUCGAAAAAAUAUUAAAAGAAUGAGGUCUAAUAAUGGUACUAAAUAUGUGAAUGAUGAAUUUUUCAAUUUUUUGUCUCACAAUGGUAUUGUUCAUGAACUAAUAUGUAUAAAUACCCCUCAACAAAACAAGGUUGUAGAAACAAAGAAUCGUUAUCUUCUUGAAGUAACUAGAGCUCUUCUUUUUUCAAAUGUUUGUUCCAAGAAAUUACUAGGGAGAAGCUAUGUUAACUGCCACAUAUCUCAUACACAGGUUACCCACCCGUAUCUUAUAUGGCAUUAGUUCUAUAGAGCGUCUAUUAUCUUUUGUUCCUUCUUAACAACGAGUCUACCUAAUUGAGUCUUUGGGUGCAUUGUUUUUGUUCACUCUCUUCAUCCUAAUCAUAGUAAAUUAGAUCCUAAAGCUCUUAAAUGUGUCUUUAAUGGGUAUCCUUUUAAUAAAAAAAAGUAAAAAUGCUAUCAUCCUUGAAGUCGUCACGUCUUUAUCACCAUGAAUGUCACCUUUCAUGAAAAUCAAUCCCUUUAUGUUAGUCCACCAAUUCAGGGGAGAAAGCACAUGAAGUGGAUGAACUCUCAUUCUUUUUAUUACCAUGUUUCCCUUUGCAAAAUUCCCAAGAUCUGAGCAAUGAAGCUACCAUAGUUCGUAGUGUGGAAGAAGAGGAAGUAGACAAAUUUUUUGGCAAAAAAUAUGAAAGAAGAAAACAACCCACUUAGAUCCUCGAGCAAGACAAAUUGUCUAAUUCGGAGGUGAGAUCCCUGAAGAUAAUAAUGAGGAGGUAAGCAUUGAGGAUUUACCUAUUGCAUUAAGAAAGGAAUAAAGAUUUUGUGCUAAAUAUCCUAUUUCCAAUAUGUUUGCACUAACAAUCUCUUUGAUAAGCAUAGAAGCUUUAUUAGUGUCAUUGAUGUCAUAGUGGGAUUGACUAUGAGAAGAUGUUUGUCCCAGUGGCAAAGAUGAAUGCAGUUCGAGUUGUUCUCGCUUUGGUUGCUUUGGCUACUCAUAUUAGAUGGGACUUACACCAUUUGGAAGUGAGGCGUGACUUUCUUCAUUGAAAUCUAGAAGAGAAAGUGUACAUGGAGAUUUCCCCAGAUUUUGAAGUGAAAAAUGACAAAAAUAAGGUAUGCCUCCUAAAGAAAGAAUUGUAUGGUCUUAAGCAAUCCCCUAAAGCAAGUUUUGGAAGAUUUACAAAAACAAUGGUUUUCUUGGGAUACAAACAAAGCCAAGGAGAUCAUACUUUAUUCAUAAAACACUCUUCUACUGGUAAAAUCACUCUAUUGUUUGUCUAUGUGGAUGAUAUGAUUAUGGCAGGAGAUGAUGAAACAGAAAAAUUGGUGUUAAAAGAAAAAUUGAAAGCCCAAUUUGAAAUGAAAUACCUAGGAAAACUCAAAUAUUUUCUUAGAAUAGAGGUUUCUUACUCCAAGAACGGAAUUUUCAUCUAAAGAAAAUAUGUACUCCUAUAGCACAAAAUCAAGAUAAUAUAUCUAACAGGUGGCAAAAAAUAUAAUAUAAAUAAAAAAUAAUAACAAACUAACUAAAGGUAAAAGAUAAAUAUAAAAUAAAGAUAAUAUAUCUAACAGGUGGCAAAAGGAUAUACGCAAAAUUUUGGGAUUGACUAUGACGAGACAUUUGUCCCAGUGGCAAAGAUGAAUACAGUUGGAGUUGUUUUCGCUAUGGCUACUCAUUUUGGAUGGGACUUACACUAGUUGAAUUAAAAAAAUGCCUUCCUUCAUGGAAAUCUAGAAGAGGAAGUGUACAUGGAGAUUCUCCUAGGUUUUAAACUGAAAAAUAAAAGAACCAAGGUAUGUCUUCUAAAGAAAGCAUUGUAUGGUCUUAAGCAAUCCUCUAGAGCAUGGUUUGAAAGAUUUACAAAAGCGAUGAUUUCCUCGAGACACAGACAAAGCCAAGGAGAUCAUACUCUAUUCAUAAAGUCCUCUUCUACGGGUAAACUAACUCUAUUGAUUGUCUAUGUGGAUAUGACAUGAUUAUUGCACGAGAUGAUGGUGUUAAAAGAUAAAUUGGCUGCCCAAUUUGAAAUGAAAGACUAGGAAAAUACAAAUAUUUUUUUGGAAUAGAGGUUGCUCACUCCAAAAAAGGAAUUUUCAUCUCUCAAAGGAAAUAUGUACUGGAUCUCCACAAAGAAACAAGAAAACUGGGAUGUAGAACCUCAACAGUUCCUAUAGAAUAGAAUCACAGAAUUAGAAGUGGGGAAAGUGCUCCUGUAGAGAAGACUCAAUAUCAGAGAUUAGUAGGAAAAUUGAUCUAUCUAUCACACACAAGAUCAGACAUUGCUUAUGCAGUUAGUGUAGUGAGCUAAUUUAUGCAUGAUCCAAGAAAGAGAUACAUGCAAGCAGUUGACAAAAUUCUUCGAUACUUGAAGUCAAAUCCAGGAAAGGGGCUAUUAUUCAAAAAAGAAGACAUAUUGACUAUGAAAAUAUAUAAUGAUGCCGACUAUGCAGGUUUUAUUUCUAACAAAAAUCUACUUCUGGAUAUUGUGUGUUUCUUGGAGAUAGUCUAGUAACAUGGAGAAGCAAAAAGCAAGAUAGAGUAUCUUGUUCUAGUGUAGAAGCUGAAUUUUGAAUUCUUGCUCAAGGAAUGUGUUAAGGACUCUCGAUGAAAAUCAUUUUGGACGAUCUUGAAGUCAAGGAAGAUAACCCUGUGCAACUACACUGUGAUAAUAAGUCUGCCAUGAACAUAGUCCAUAAUCCAGUACAGCAUGACAGGACCAAACACAUUGAGAUUGACAAACAUUUCAUCAAAGAUAAUCUUGACAGACAUUUGUGAUUACAACUCAUUCCUAUAGAAUUUCAAAUAGCAAAUAUUUUUAUAAAAGGGCUCACUACGAGUAGAUUUCAAGAUCUUGUAGACAAAUUGGGAAUGAUUGAUAUUCAUUUACCAACUUGAAGGAGAGUGUUGUAAUUUGAGGAAAUAUCUUCUUAAUUAAAGAACAUAUCUAUAGAAUUUUCCUAAUUAGAGAAAAUAGAUGUAUAAUCUUCUAGAUUAUUUUGUUUCCCUAUUUCCCUAUUUUAGAAUAUUAGAUUGUUACAAAUAGAGCAAAGGAAAGAUUAGUAAUAUUUUGCAUGGUAUAGACUGAAAAGAAUACAAAAAUAAGAGCACUCUGUCCUCCAAGAGUUUCCCUUUCACAAAGAGCUAAAGCUCAAUCUACAAAAUUAUCCCCAAAGGUCCCCUGCAUUUUAGUAACCCCCCCUCUCCCACCAACUUUAUAAAGGAAACCUCACUCACCCUAACAACCUAACUAACAAUUACUUCCUAAUAUGUUUCCUUCUAUCAUGCAGACAUUAUAUCCUAUCAAUGUGUAUUUUCUACCCAUAGUGAGAUUGCUCCUAUACCUAUUUAUCACUAUAUUCAACACUUAUAAUAUUGUGCCUGAAUAAAAUCUAAAACUUCCUAAAAACAUCUCAACAUUCUUCAACUAGAUUAACAUGAAAAUGCAAGUCAAAAUUGUGAUUUAAACGCCAAACACAUGAAUCUAUGAGGAAAAAUACAAAGAAACUCACCAAUGUGGAUCAUUCUUAGAGGGUAUUCCAAGAAUUAGUGAAGUAAUAAUGCCAAGGCAAGUGCCAAUUUGACAUAAAGACCCCAGGGCACCCCUAUAUUUUGUUGGAGCUACCUACACCACAUACACCACAUCAUUGCAAAGAGACAUGAGUGAGAAAGGCUUGUUAUUUCUAUUUAAGAAUAUCUUUCCUCCACAUAUCAAAACCAAAAAUAUAGAAAAAAAUAAGUACAAACCAUCUUCAUUAGAAAUAUGAAUAUACUUUCAACAUGGAAGGGGAACUGUAAAGUAUUACCACAAUAGAAAUAAAUAAUAACAAUUAGAAAUUGGCUUGCUUUAUUUUCAUUAUAACAAAUAAAUAAUGUUUAUUACAACGUUGUGAUUAGAAAAAUAAAAACCAAAAUUUAAACACAUUGUUAAGAAUUGGACUUUCAACCUAACUCAAUCCCACAAAACUGGCUUGUAAAGUGAGGUUUGUAACACACCCGACUCAUGUUGAUGUGAGACUUCCAACACACCCACAUCACACUGAGGUGUAUAUAUCUCGUGCGUGGAGAAACUCACUGUAGGCAUCAAUAGAAAUUGAAACCUCAUCUGAUGAUUUAGGAGAAUUGACUUGAGCAACAUUAGUUGUUUUGUGUUGUUGUCAUUCCCUUGUAUGGCAUUCUGCCUCAAUAUGGCCGUAUUGGUGACAAAAAAUGCAACAAGGGUGUUGACCAAGAUAUCCACCACGAUUUCCACUUCGUCCACCUCGGUAAGAAGAUUGGGAGUAAAAAGCAAAGGAAUCCGUUGGAGGUACAGGAGAAUGACCAAACAUGUGAGGAAUUGAGAGGCGAAGUAAUUGUUCACUAACAGUGUCAUAAGAUGGAACAACCGUGUCAAAUAAGAUUUGAUUGCGAAUAGAGUCAAAGUUAAGAGGAAGUCCAACAAGUGUAAGAACCAUAAAAAACUUGUCACGUUCAGCAAGUUUGUAUGCAUCAUUAGUGAAAAGCAUGAGUGACUCAAAAUCAACUAUUAAGCAAUCGAGCUUAUGUAUGUCGUGAUUUUCCAGCUUCACAGUGAUAAGGUUGGAGACAACCUUAUAAAGGCAAUGAACAUCAUUGGAGUAUAACAACCUUAUAAAGUCUUUGACUCAAAUAGUUCAAACAUUAAAAGAAAGAUAAGAAACUUUUAUUCUGGGUCUCUUAGGAUGUAAUGCAUCAGAACUGGUAUAACAAGCUAUAUGAACAAGUCUUAGAUUGAGAUACUUAACACACAGUGCAGUUGGUAUAGCAAGCUAUAUGAACCAAAGACACUUGAUGUGUGUUAGAGGUUUAUCAAUCAUAAUACACCCACACAAUCCUUGCUAUUAUCAUUGUGUUGCACUUACUAGGCCCUGCGCAUGCCCAAUAUUCAUGAGUACUCUAGAGAUCAUGCCAAGAUCUCAUGCAAGCAGCCCCACUCGACACUUAUAUAGGUGAUUUCAUCAAGUGUAUGAUGUAAAUCAUACACUACCCAUAAGGGAUAUGAAAAUCAUUGAAAACUUUGUUUAAACUAAAAUUCUUUAACCACACAGAAUUUUAAUGACAAAGUUUAACUUCUCAAUAAUGCAGUCUCUAGAACUUUCACACACAUCAUAGGAAGGGACAUAAUUGAUUAAAAUCAAAUUGGUGCUAUCAGAACUAACAAGUGACUUGUUUUUACCCAUAUGAACCUUAUUCAUGGGAUCUCCAAUCACAAAGGUUGGGUUACCAUCACUUGUUUGUUUGCAAGUGGCUUAAGUCUCAUUCCCCUCGAUGUUUCUAAUAUCAUUUGCCUUCCCAGGGGUUUUGUCAGAGUAUCUGCUAGAUUCCGUUCUGACUUAACAUAAUCAACGGAAAUAGUUCCACUCUUUAGCAACUACUUCACCAAAUUGUGUCUCAAUUGUAUGUCUAUUCUUUCCAUUGUAAUUCUUGUUUUUAACUAUAACUAUUGUCAAUUGGCAAUAACAGUGUAUUGAUACCGAUGGAGAUGGUUUCUUUCCUAGUGGAAUGUUCGCUAAGAAGUUUUUCAACCACUCAGCCUCAUUACCAACCAUCUCGAGCAACAAACUCAGAGUCCAUUGUUGAUCUUGCAAUAAUUGUUUGUUUGGUUGAUCUCCAGGUAAUCGCACCACCCCCAAGUGUGAAUACAUAACCACUAGUGGAUUUUGUCUCAACUGAAUCAGAGAUCCAGUUAGGAUCAUUGUACCCUCCUAGUACAGCAAGAAAUCCACUAUAUUCAAUGGCAUAAUUGAACCUCUUAAGUAUCUCAUAAGCCUAGCAAGUGCAUCCCAAUGUUCCUGAUUUGGACAUUGAGUGUUACUACUCAGUCUACCUAUUGCAUAAGCAAUAUCAGGUCUAGAAAAGCUCAUCAAGUGCAGUAAGCUCCCAACUAUCUAGGCAUACUGAGGCUGAGAUAAUGAUUCUCCUCUACUUUUUAUUAAUUUAGAAUUAGCAUCAUAAGGGGUACUCACUGGUUUUAAGUCAUAAAACUCAAACUUCUUCAGAAGUUUCUCAAUGUAUUGUUCUUGAGAUAGUAAUAUACUAUCUCCCUUCCUUAUGAUUCUAAUACCUAAAAUCACACUGGCUUCACUCACGUCUUUCAUUUCAAAUUUUGAUCCUAGAAAGAAUUUAGUUCUAACGACAAUCUCAUUACAUGUACCAAAGAUUAACAUGUCAUCCACAUAUAAGCAUAUAAUGGCACAAUCACCCUUUUUAGAUUUAGAGUACACACAUUUAUCAACAUCAUUAGGUUAAAAACCAUCACAAAGCAACACAUUAUCAAGUUUUUCACGUCAUUGUUUUGGUGCUUGUUUCAACCCAUACAAGGAUUUUAAUAGUUUACAUAUUUUAUCCUCUUGACCAGGUAUAACACACCCUUCAGGUAGAGUCAUAUAAAUUUCUUCCUCUAAAUCACCAUUCAAAAAGGUUGUUUUAACAUCCAUCUGAUGUAUCACUAGUUUAUGGAUAGCUGUUAGAGCUAACAACAUUCAGAUAGAAGAAAUCCUAGUCACAGGAGCAAAAGUAUCAAAGUAAUCUAUGUUGGGUUUUUGAGUAAAGCCUUUUGCUACUAAUCUUGCCUUAUAUUUUUCUAUGGAUCCAUCAGAGUAAUACUUUUUUCUUAAAGAUCCACUUACAACCAAUGGGUUUUGCUCCUUUAGGCAAAUCUACUAAAGUCUAAGUAUUAGUUUUUCUGAAUUGAUUCAAUUUCAGUCCUAAUGGUCUUAUCCCACUAUUUUGCAUCAGGAGCACUAGUAGCUUCUACAAAGCUUGUUGGAUCAUUAUCAACAAGAUAAGUAUAAAAGUCAUCUCCAAAGGAUAUUUCCUUUCUCUGUCUUUUACUUCAUCUCAAAUCCUCAUUCAUGGUAUCACUAUUAUUAUUAUCAUCAACACGUUGAGACAUCUCACUAACCUUUAAGGGAAACAUAUGUUAAAAAAACUCAGCAUUUUUCGUCUCCACUAUAGAGUUUCUCUCAAGUAUGUUACUUUUAACUACUAAAAACCUGUAGGCAACACUAUGUUUGCCAUAACCUAAGAACAUGAAACCAGAGGUUUUAGAGCCUAUUUUCCUUUUCUCAGGAACGGGUAACAUCACCUUAGCUAAGCACCCCCACACUCUUAGAUAUUUAAGGUUAGGUUGGUAUCCUUUCCACAACUCAUAAGAAGUUUUACCGGUUUUCUUAUGGGGUAUUCUAUUUUGUAAAAAACACGCAGUAAGCAAGGCUUCUCCCCAAAGGCUAUCAGGUGCACCAGAACUAACAAGCAUAACAUUCAUCAUUUCCUUAAGGGUUCUAUUUUUUCUCUCAGCUACUCCAUUAGACUCAGGUGAAUAUGGUGAGGUCACUUCAUGAAUAAUACCUUCUUUAACACAAAAUUCAUUAAACAGUACAUACUCACCACCUCUAUCUGAUCUAAUCCUCUUAAUUUUCUUAUUCAAUUGAUUUUCUACUUCUGCUUUAUAGGUUACAAACAUAUCAAAGGCUUCAUCUUUAUGUUUGAUUAAGUAAACUUUGGUGUAUCUAGAAUAAUCAUAUCUAUAAAAGUCACAAAAUAAGUUUUACCUCCUCUAGACAUGGUUUGUUUCAAAUCAGCUAGAUCAGUAUGAAUUAACCCUAACAAUUCAGUUUUGCGUUCUACAGACAAACAUGUUUUCUUUGUGAAUUUAGAUUCUACACAUAUAUCACAUUUACUAUUUUGUUUAUCAUGUAUAUUAAUUAAUCCUAAUCGUCGUAAUUCCAAAACAUACGAGGAAUUCACAUAACCUAAUCUAGCAUGUCAUAUAUCAUACGAGUCAACAAUAUAAGCAGAAGAACUUGAUUCAUUAAUAUUUUCAUAAACAUUUAGAAUGAAGAGUCAUUGAUCACAAUAUUCCUUCCCCAUGAAAACAUUAUUUUUUGUCAUAAUGAUCUUGUCAGACUCAAAUGAAACUUUAACCCCCAUUAUUCCCAGUAGUGCUACAGAGAUUAAAUUAACUCUGAUUGAUGGCACACGUAGCACAUCACUCAAGGCCAGAGUCUUUCUAGAUGUGAGUUUGAGAAGAACUUUUCCUUUUUCCAAAAGAGGAGUGGUCCUCCAAUCUCUGAGGUAGACAUGUUCUUCUCCAUCCCUUACACUAGUGUAAGAGGUACAAGCACUUCUGUUUGCACAGAUAUGCCUGGUAGCACCAGAGUCUACCACCCAUUUGCUCACAUUGGUCAUCAGAUUUACUUGAGAAAUGACCGCAGCAAUAAUCCUUUGGCUAUAUUUGCCCUAGGAGGAUUGUCAUUUCUCACUCCAUGCCAGGUGGGUUUAGAUUCAUUGGGACGGGAUUUAAAAAAAAUUAUUUUUCUUUUUGUGAUCAAGUUUGUGUACAUACCCUUUGGGAGCAACAACAACUCCAUACAUGUCUAAAAGGGUGGACACGCGUUCUUGCCAGCUCCAAAAAUUUUGUCCAGAGAAAACUUCGAUUUUUGACACGUCCGGAAGUGAUUUUUCGAAGACCAUAUGGGCUUUGGGAACAAUGGUUUGACUCUCCGAAGGCAUAUUGUUGAUGUCAGUCAUAAGUCCUUAAGAUUGUUGUAAAAAGCUACCAAAACAGUAUUUCCUAAGGAGUGUAGAGUCGUUGUCCUUAAGGACUUAUCUGUGGUGUAUUGUGUAAGUCUCCCAGGAUAGGAACUUCUCAGAAUUUAUGAGGAUCUCAGAACUAGCAAGGAUCUCUAAAAAGAGUAUAAAAAACCCAAAAUAUAUUUAAAAGAGAAAAAAAAACAAGAGAAUGAAACUAAGAGAGAAGAAUGAGAAAGACUGAAUUUGGUAUAUUUUGGAAUGGGGGAAGAGCUCUCUAUUUACAGUGCUAGGAAAGAAUAAAUCAAUAAAAGACAAUAAAAACAAUAAAUAUUUAAACGUUAGAGCACUUAAAAUUUUGAUCGUUGCUCUUAAAAUGUUAAUGUUGGCAAUUAAGAAAUUUUAACGUUGCCAAAUACUAACGGUGUAAUACGUUUUCAUAUUUUGCAAUAUAAUAAUAUAUUAUAACAGAAAGGAACUUAAGAACAUGAAGAUCAUAAGCACAAUAUAAGAAUAAUUUAGGAAAUUAAAUAAUUUGUAAUUUUAUUUUAAUUUUAACGAAUGUGAGAUUUGGUUGAAGAGCCAGUUUGUGCUCGUUGGGUGAGCGGGCCUCGCUAGGCGAAAGUCUACAUCUGUAAUUUUCGUUUUUUUUUUUCUGGGCUUUGGGCUUUAUUUUAGGGUUUCUAUGUUUUCUUAAACUUAUGUACCUAUAUAUAGAGCAACCAAAAGUUGAUGUAAGCACUUUUAAGUCAUAUAAUAUGCAUUUGCAUUCAUUGAGAGAGAAUUCUCUUAGUUCUUGGAUUAGAACUUUGAUUCUUAUCAAAGAUUAACAUCUUUGUGACGAAUCUUCACUAGACAUAUCAAUCUGCUAAAUUGUGGUGUCCUCAUCCAUCUUAUUUUGCAUUCUUUUUUAUUUAUGUUUGUCAUGUCUCUUGAGGAUCCAAAUUCAGAAGAGAUUGUAUUCUUUCCUAGACCGGAUCAUAUCUAGAUCUACUUUCGGAUAAUGUUUACAUGGGAGAUAACUUGAUUUCUUGUAAGAGUAAGAGUAGAAAAUAGGACUAAUUUUAUUAUUCUGAAUCAUAAAAAAUACAUUCUCUUAUCCUAUAUUUGUAACAAUCUAAUUCUCCUAAAAAGGGAAAUAGGGAAACUAGGGAAACAAAAUAAAAUAGAAGAUUAUACAUCUAUUUUCAAUAAUUAGGAAGAUUCUAAAGAUAUUUUCUCUAAUUACAACACUCAUCCUCAAGUUGGUAAAUGAAUAUCAAUCAUUCCCAACUUGCCUACAAGAUCUUGAAAUCUAUCCAGAGGAAGUCCUUUUGUAAAAAUAUUUGCUAUUUGAAGUUCUGUAGGAACAUAAAUUGUAAUCACAAAGCCUUUGUCAAGAUUAUCUUUGAUGAAAUGUUGGUCAAUCUCAAUGUGUUUGGUUCUGUCAUGUUGUACUAGAUUAUGAGCUAUGCUCAUGGCAGACUUAUUGUCACAGCGUAGUUGCAUUGACAUAUGGGAGUCUCAGACCUCCUAAUAUUCUACUAACCAUUCAAGCAAGAUGUCCUAUCCUAACCACUAAACCAUUUGGUCCUAGGCGUGAUAACCCCUUUGUUUAUGACUUUGUAGAAUAUAAAUACUACUACUAGUGCAUGCCUACAGUGAAGCUCAAUGUCAAAAGCAUGUAUCCGGGUAAUUGAAUCUAGAUAUUGUUAUAAUAUUAUUAGUUACAAGAUAUUGUUAGUUACAAUAUCUUAUGUUUUUUACAAUAUUAUUAUUCAUUAUCAAUAUAUUACCUAUGUGCAUUUUCUACACAAGGGAAUUAAUCUUAUACAUAGUUUUUCCUAUUUUCACAGUAAUAGAGAGAUUUCUUAAUUUUUACUAAAAAUAUUAUUUCUAUUGAUAGUAAAUGAGAUGCUGAUAGAUUUCUUCAGGUUCUUGGUGCAUCCCCCUAGUUUCCGCCUCCAGUUCCUCCAUGGUGGUCUCUAGUGAAUUCAUUCUCCCCUCCAAGGCAUUGACUCUUCCUUCCAUGACACUCCUCUCCCAAGUAUCCGGCAAGUCGGACCAAUUUGAUAGAUUUCUUUAGGUAAGAAAUCAAUCUCUAUCAAAACACAACACACACACCCAGAUUACUGGAAAAAAACACCAUAUAUUAUUCUUGCAAUCAAAGAAUACAAUGUACACGUCCAAAACUCUCAUGGCAACACUUUCCCUCCAUGGGAUACAAGGUCCUAUCUGCACAAAAGAAUUAACAAAAGCUCCCUUGCCACGAGACACUCUUGUCUUCUUAUAAAGACAACCCAACCAGCUAACCAACUUCUAACUACCCAACAAGCAACUAAUUCCUAAUUUGUUUCCUUCCAUCCUGCACACGUUAUAUCCUAUUAGAUGCCCUUUGGGAUGUCAUCAUAGCUAAGAUGCCAAAGUACAUAUUGAUGCCUAGUAUGAGUUUUAUUUGAAAAAAAAUAAAGAGAAAUUUGAGGAAGAAAAGUAAUUUAUUCUUAUUUCUUAACAAUCAAAUCAAAGUUUACCCUGAAGUAUUUAUAGUCUCAGUUCAACUACCAUACUGGCAGUUGUAUAACUGAAAAUAUUGACAACAUAUAGUCAUGUAUGUAAUUGACUUACUACUUUGUUAAGAGCUAAUUUCCGUAAAAGACAGUUGAAUAAUAGCUCUUCCAUUAUGAGUAACAUCAAGGUAUUAGGAGUAAAGUGUAAACUGUACAGAUGAGGUAAGUCCGACAAGAAAAUGAUUAUGUACAAAGCUAAAGUUGAUAUUAGCAUGUACCUCGGAGAUAUAUAUUGGAACAAGAACCGUAUUAACACCUAUACCAAGACCAACAAGAAGUCUUCCCCCAAUUAUCUCAUUCAAGGAGUGAGCUUGUGCACUGUAAAAAAUUAGAACAUGUAUGUUAACAAUAUGACUUAUAGCAAAGGACCUACAACUUCACAUCAAAAAGCUUGCAAUUUGUGGGAAAUAUGCAUUGAUGAUGAAAAUAUUGGAAAAGUCACUCAUGUUAUAAUCAUAAAUUGCAUAUACUUAAUAAAUCAUGUUUUUGAACAAGCAGUUAAAAAUAGAGUAACUCUAUUCGCUAGCUGUUUUUCAACACGAGAAAUAAGUUUGGCAUUUAAGUUAGCUUGAGAAAGUUUAAUUAUGAGAAACAUGUUUGAUACUGACAGUCAUUGACCCCAUACACCAAUGGGCAAAUACCAUGUAUUUUUGAGACAUCAUGAAGGCUUUAUUUAUAUUGAGAAAAUGGAAACAAUAAAGAAAUAGAGAGGGUUUAAUAUCUUCUAAUAAAGAUAUAAUACAAGAAUAAAUAACAAUAGAUGUAUGAUCUAGAUGUACUUCAUUAUAUAAGAUAUGCUCUCCUCAUUUCUAUAAUUAUAACACUCCCCUCAAGUUACGGCAUAUAAGUCAUAUGCCCAACUUGAUACAGGUAUGAUCGUUUCUUGGUUAUCUUAGAGACUUAAUGAAUAUAUCAGUCAAUUGUUUGUUAAAGUUGACAAUUUUAGUGCUGAUAACAAUCCACCUCCAUAUGAUUGGUCAUCGCAUGAAAGACAAGACUAGACCAGAUGUACAAUGUUUAUGUUAGGACAUGACCUCUUAUUAUGAAGGCCUAUUAAAGAAAAAACAAAGGAAAAGGAAAAUACAGCUUAUUGUUUUCAUUAACCCAGUUGUAAAAUAUGUUAGUAAUUAUGUUGUUGGGAAGCUUGUAUAUAUAGGUGUCUUUUGGGGUUUUAGAAAAAAAAAAAGGAUUGGAAAAUAAGUGAACAGUGGGAGGAUUUUGGACCCUCGAAGUGUCAGUGGUAUUUCUGUAAAGAUUUCUGAAACCUAUAUUCGAAAUUCUCAGUUUCUCUAUUUGAGUUUCUUUCUUGUUUCUGAUUUUUUGAUCCCGGUAUUAGAGCUCUUUUCAAGCUGUGGUUUGUUACACGUGGUGACUUCAAGAAUGAUGGAAUCACGAGUGGAAACACCAAAGAAGUCUUUUGCAAAUGGGCAUUGGUUACCAAAGGGUUUUAAAGCAAGAUUAGAUGCAUGGUUAACCCAAAUGGAAGCGAAUUUGGAAUCCCAUCUUGCGUAACAGAAUUCACACAUGCCACGGUUGGAAAGGAUUGUGGAAAGAUUUG